GAUGAACGCUGGCGGCGUGCCUAAUACAUGCAAGUCGAGCGAACAGACGAGGAGCUUGCUCCUCUGACGUUGGCGGCGGACGGGUGAGUAACACGUGGAUAACCUACCUAUAAGACUGGGAUAACUUCGGGAAACCGGAGCUAAUACCGGAUAAUAUAUUGAACCGCAUGGUUCAAUAGUGAAAGACGGUUUUGCUGUCACUUAUAGAUGGAUCCGCGCCGCAUUAGCUAGUUGGUAAGGUAACGGCUUACCAAGGCAACGAUGCGUAGCCGACCUGAGAGGGUGAUCGGCCACACUGGAACUGAGACACGGUCCAGACUCCUACGGGAGGCAGCAGUAGGGAAUCUUCCGCAAUGGGCGAAAGCUUGACGGAGCAACGCCGCGUGAGUGAUGAAGGUCUUCGGAUCGUAAAACUCUGCUAUUAGGGAAGAACAAAUGUGUAAGUAACUAUGCACGUCUUGACGGUACCUAAUCAGAAAGCCACGGCUAACUACGUG
This 497-nucleotide ribosomal RNA is filed under the name uncultured bacterium. Its description in RNAcentral is "partial 16S ribosomal RNA". It matches the Rfam family "Bacterial small subunit ribosomal RNA", at positions 28 to 507 of the family's 1533-position model. The record is from RNAcentral.